UUCGUCUAGCAUCAAUACCCCUUACUAGAAUGACUUGAUACUAAUGCAGAUGUAACAUGUGACCAUUCCUCAUCUUCAGACAUCACCUGACCUCAGUUUGACCUUGACCUUAUUUUGGACUUGGGUUGCUUUAUAUGGGCCAUCUCUUGGUUAACCAAAUGGGACCGUUUCGUCUAGUAUCAAUACCGCUUACAAGAAUGAAUUGAUACUAAUACAGAUGUAACCUGUGACCAUUCCUCAUCUUCAAACAUCACCUGACCUCAGUUUGACCUUGACCUCGUUUUGGACUUAGGUUGCUUUGUAUCGACAAGGAUGCCACCUGGGACAUCAAGCGUUUAUUGAACGCAGCUCUUUGUUUUUAGAAAAAUACAUUAUGAAAUUUAUUUUCAUGUUUUGCGGAUUUCUUUGCAGGAAACUUCACGAGACCAUGCUAUUGAAUUGGUGAUGAAGAGGGCCAGAAUUUGCCAGUGGAGCUGAACAGUGAAUCUUCACAAGACAAAUCUAACGAGAAUGGCAUUGAAGGGGACCAGAAAUUGCCAGUGGAGCUUAAUCAUGAAACUUCAGAAGACAAUACUAAAGAGGACGACGACGAAGGGGGCCAGAAAUUGCCAGUAGAGCUUAAUCAAGUAAGUGGUUUACCUGAUA
Mercenaria mercenaria is the source of this 645-nucleotide long non-coding RNA. RefSeq lists it as uncharacterized. NCBI's taxonomy places the organism in Eukaryota, Metazoa, Mollusca, Bivalvia, Venerida, Veneridae. The record is from RefSeq and is a predicted model, not a curated record. The transcript is spliced from 3 exons.